Molecule: long non-coding RNA, 1046 nt
Organism: Oreochromis aureus
Lineage: Eukaryota; Metazoa; Chordata; Actinopteri; Cichliformes; Cichlidae
Exons: 4
Source: RefSeq, a predicted model, not a curated record
ACCGGCUACAAGGAUGGGCAGCUGUUUUCGCAAAGUCAGCCAACCUCUUGCUUCCAAAUGACCCUUAUCCAGAAGUAUCCGUGAGUGCCUCAUCAACAGAAACUAAAGUGGAGACCUACCUCUCAGAGAAAAACGCACACAUAAGAAAAGCCGACCCACUUCAGUACUGGGAAGAACAUCCUAAUCUGUUUCCCUCUAUGGCUGCUGUUGCGAUCCCAGUGUGCCCCCUGUAGCUCUGUGGAGAGUUUUGGAUUUGUUUACAUCUCACCCAACCGCUCACGGCAGAUGGCUGCACCUCUCUAAGCCUGGUUCUGCCGGAGGUUUCUUCCUGUUAAAAGGGAGUUUUUCUGAACACACUCUACCACCAACAAGGACAGCUCACCAGUGGGAACUGAUUGAUAAGACUGCUGAUGUGCUCUCAUCCAUUGAAGAGCUGACCAGAAACGUGAACAGAAAGACUGCACCUGAUGGGAUCCCUGCCAUAACAGAUGUGUUCUGUCCAGUGAAGGCAGUGGAGAAGCCCUACACUAAUCUUGAAACUGUGCCACGCUACUAGAAACCGGCUACAAGGAUGGGCAGCUGUUUUCGCAAAGUCAGCCAACCUCUUGCUUCCAAAUGACCCUUAUCCAGAAGUAUCCGUGAGUGCCUCAUCAACAGAAACUAAAGUGGAGACCUACCUCUCAGAGAAAAACGCACACAUAAGAAAAGCCGACCCACUUCAGUACUGGGAAGAACAUCCUAAUCUGUUUCCCUCUAUGGCUGCUGUUGCGAUCCCAGUGUGCCCCCUGUAGCUCUGUGGACAGUUUUGGAUUUGUUUACAUCUCACCCCAACCGCUCACCGCAGAUGGCCGCCCCUCCCUGAGCCUGGUUCUGCCGGAGGUUUCUUCCUAUCAAAAGGGAGUUUUUCCUUCCCACUGUCGCCAAAGUGAUUGCUCAUAGGGGGUCAUAUGAUUGUUGGGUUUAUCUAUAUACAUUAAUGCUUGUAUGCUUUUCAUUUAUACUUUUGCCUUACUCUUCAGUUCAUAAUAUAAAGUUACUUGAAUGUU